CAGCUCCGCGGUAAUGGAGGCUAGGGAUGGGUGCUGAAGUAUCAGGCUCUGGCUCUAGCUUUAGCUCUGGCACUGGAACUGCGUCGGAGUCUGGGUCUGAGUCUGGCAGCCCGAAGCCUGGACACCUUUUCUUGAUUCUCUAGGCGGGGGCUGCCUGCGUCCAAGCAGCUGGUUUGCAGCGUUCCAACGCUGGGAGGGAGUUCCCUUACCUGGGGUCCAGUCUGUAAAGUUGUCGCCGCUUUCUAGGGACCCCGCCCCACCGGCUGGGACUCUUCCAUGCAGUUGAAACUGGUUGACAACCAUUAACCUGGGUUGCAACUACAGGUGGCACUGGAAGCAGACUGGUUCCUGGACAUGCCCGGUGGAAGGAGGGGCCCUAGUCGGCAACAGCUAAGCCGUUCAGCUUUACCUUCUUUGCAGACUUUGGUUGGUGGAGGCUGUGGCAAUGGAACAGGCUUGAGAAACAGGAAUGGUAGUGCUAUUGGCCUUCCAGUCCCACCUAUCACAGCCUUAAUCACCCCAGGUCCUGUUCGUCAUUGCCAAAUUCCUGACUUGCCUGUGGAUGGGAGCCUACUCUUUGAAUUCCUUUUUUUCAUCUACCUGUUGGUUGCUCUUUUCAUUCAGUACAUCAACAUUUAUAAAACAGUGUGGUGGUAUCCUUACAAUCAUCCUGCUUCUUGUACAUCACUGAAUUUUCAUCUCAUUGAUUAUCAUCUGGCAGCAUUCAUCACAGUGAUGCUUGCGAGGAGGCUUGUAUGGGCUCUCAUCUCAGAGGUCUGUGUGUGUAAGCUCUGAUUUUCAGGAACCCUAUUUCUGGAAGCAGAGUAACUGGAAAUACUAAGUCAAGAUCUGAAAACCAUUUGAAGUUAACCAAAAAGCACAGGCUACUAAGGCAGGUGCAGCAUCAAUGAUUCACUACAUGGUUCUGAUAUCAGCUCGCUUGGUACUACUCACUUUGUGUGGAUGGGUACUUUGUUGGACCCUCGUCAAUCUCUUUCGAAGCCAUUCAGUCCUCAAUCUCCUUUUCCUUGGCUACCCGUUUGGUGUUUAUGUUCCUCUUUGCUGUUUUCAUCAAGAUAGUAGAGCACAUCUUCUUCUCACAGACUACAACUAUGUGGUUCAGCACGAGGCAGUAGAGGAAAGUGCCUCGACUGUGGGAGGCUUGGCCAAAUCCAAAGACUUUCUCUCCUUGUUGCUGGAGUCGCUAAAAGAACAGUUUAAUAAUGCCACACCCAUCCCCACCCACAGUUGUCCCCUAUCUCCAGACCUCAUUCGCAAUGAAGUAGAAUGUCUGAAAGCAGAUUUCAACCACAGAAUCAAGGAGGUUCUCUUCAACUCCCUCUUCAGUGCCUACUAUGUUGCAUUUCUCCCCCUGUGUUUUGUGAAGAGUACCCAGUACUAUGACAUGCGCUGGUCAUGUGAGCACCUCAUUAUGGUGUGGAUCAAUGCUUUUGUCAUGCUCACCACGCAACUGUUGCCAUCCAAAUACUGUGAUUUGCUACAUAAAUCAGCUGCUCACCUGGGCAAGUGGCAGAAGUUGGAACAUGGGUCCUACAGCAAUGCUCCACAGCACAUUUGGUCAGAAAAUACAAUAUGGCCUCAAGGGGUGCUGGUGCGGCACAGCAGAUGUUUAUAUAGAGCCAUGGGGCCUUACAACGUGGCAGUGCCUUCAGAUGUAUCUCAUGCCCGCUUUUAUUUCUUAUUUCAUCGACCAUUAAGGCUGUUAAAUCUGCUCAUCCUUAUUGAGGGCAGUGUCGUCUUCUAUCAGCUCUAUUCCUUGCUGCGGUCGGAGAAGUGGAACCACACACUUUCCAUGGCUCUCAUCCUCUUCUGCAACUACUAUGUUUUAUUUAAACUUCUCCGGGACAGAAUAGUAUUAGGCAGGGCAUACUCCUACCCACUCAACAGUUAUGAACUCAAGGCAAACUAAGCUGCCUCUCAACAAUGAGGGAGAACUCAGAUAAAAAUAUUUUCAUACGUUCUAUUUUUUUCUUGUGAUUUUUAUAAAUAUUUAAGAUAUUUUAUAUUUUGUAUACUAUUAUGUUUUGAAAGUCGGGAAGAGUAAGGGAUAUUAAAUGUAUCCGUAAACAAGGUGAUGUGAUCUUUCAUGUGUUAGUAUAUUCGAAUAAUAUACAUAUGAGAGGUAUGCCUGUCCAGUAAAGAGAUUGAUUUGUUUGUAUGGCUCUGGAAUAACUCAUUCGUUUAUGAACACAUCUCAUGUAUUACUUGACACAGUACCUUUGGUAUGUCUGCUUUUCUUUCAAUCCUCAUUAUCUUUAGCCCUCAGCUGGCCAGUACUUAUUGCUAAAGAAAGGGAGAUCAAUGGAGUUGCCUACCAGCACCCAUUCUCUUUUAGUUCAGCUGGCUAAUAGUAUUGGAAUACAUUGGGAAAAGAGUGGGUUAAAGUCCUAGGUGGGGUUCUCUUUGUUGCCUACCAGGAGAAAGCAGUAGGCUUCCUUUCUAAGAUACGGACUCAGCUGGUCUAUUUUACCCUGUGACAUUUAAAUAUACUUUUGAAUAAGCUACUAUCCUGAGGCUGAGGGUUUUGCUGCCACUUUUCCUGUGUUUCCACUUCUGCUUCCAAAGAUUUUCCUCUUAGUUGUUUGAAAUAAUACUUUGCCAGACAGGAAGUCUUUAGACUGCCCACAUUCAUGAAGAAGAUGAUGUGUGGCUGGAUCAGUAGGAGAAGCUGAGUGCAAAUGCCAUGUGGGCUAGAGUAUGGGAAGGUUGAAAAUUCCAAGUAACUGGGAGAGUGGGCAAGUCCUCAGCUGAACAAUCUUGGAUGUAGUCUAGCAGCAACCCACCUACAAUGGCGUUAUGUUUGGAGUUAUGAGGGGAAGUGAAAGAUAAGAAUUACCUACAGCUUUGUACUCAGAUAAUUUAUAUCCAAAAUUUGUGUUUUAAAUUUCAUACUCCAGAACUUUCAUGUUUAUGAGUAUUAGCCUUUUAAGUUAUGGGAGGUGAUAUACUUAGUCCAUUGAUGUUGUCACUUGUCAUCUAAACUUAUGAGACCUUGUCUUAGAGAAUCUAAAAUAUAUUGUCAUAUGUUUUCUGUGCUGAGUUUGGUUUGUUACACUGUGAAGCUUUUGGUGAAACAAAAUAAGACUUAUGAAGUAAAAAGACCAAUCAUGUCGUUGACAAGCUGGCUCUGAAAAUAAUUCUUGCAGAAGAGUUCCUGAAAGGCUUCACCAAGGGGAAGUAUUGUGAGGAGUGUUUGUAAAACCAAGGUACCCAAUAUCAGUUUUAUGUUUAAAUCAAUAAUUGUUUCUUUAAAUAUUUUGAUGUGUAUACUUUUUUUUUAAGUUAACAUUAUUUGGCAUUCAGUCUGAGUCUGUUCAACCAUUCAACAAAUAUAUAUUAACCAGUAGGCACUAUAUUAGGCCCUGGGGAUAUAGCAGUGAAUGAGAAAUGCAAAGGUCCUACUUGCACAGAGCUUACAAUAUGCGUGGGGGUGGGGGAGUUAGGUGGUGCAGAAAAUACAGCAAAUAAAUUUAUGUGUAAUAUAACAUUCCCUGGUAGUAGUGAUAAGUGUAGCAAAGGGAAAUCAGGACAAGGAAAUAGUGGUAAGAAUAGCACUGCUAGAAGGCAUCUUUGAGGAGAUGAUUUUUAAGCAAAGAAAAAGCAAGACUGAAUCAUAUAAAUAGCUUUGGGGAGAAUUCCAUGUUACAGUAGCAGAAAGGGCAGUGCCCUGAGGUGGGGACAAGUUGGUAUAUUGGAAGAAUAGCAAGAAAAUAUAUUAGGUUAGUUGCUUUUUAAAGUAGUUCAGCCUAAAUAUAGUGGUUCUUGAGGUAGGGGUGGGAAGGGUAGGGAAUCUGCCAUCUUUCUAUUCUUUCUGUAGGAUCUUGAAAAUAUGCUUCUCUUGGCAGCAACAUUUUCAUGAGAUUACUCAGCAGUUGAGAGCAAAAUGGGUGGCAUGGGCACAGAGAUAUCUCAUCAAAAUUGCCCCAACUUGGCUCCAGCUUGGGAAAGUAACCCAGAAAACCCUGAUUAGAGAUAACAGACCAGUCUUAUGAACUAAUAUGAUGCCCCUUCUGGCUUGAUCUGUCUUGGUCCUAUCCUAAGGGAAUAGCACAGAACCAGAUGCUGGCUUGGCUAAAUAAGUAAGUGGAUAUAAGAAAUAAAUAAAAAUUAAUUUUGGCUAAUGGAAUUGCAAAGUUCCUCCUACCCUCACCUCCAGAUAUGGCAGCAUACGGGGCAUAAGACCGUUUAGUUCAACGUGUUCUACACAUUCCAGCUGUUUUUUGUUUGUUUGUUUUGUUGUUUUGUUUUUGUAGGGGCCACGUUCAUGGAAGAGAGAAAAAUUACUAGUUACCCGGAUAUCCUAUUAUAGUUCAUGUAACAGAAGGGACACUAUAUUUGCUCACUGAUAGUAGAAAAAUGUGUAAUCAUUAAAGAAUGACCUUUUUUGUAAUUCUUUGUUGGCAAGUUAAAAUUGUUUGUGGAAAGCAUGGUAUAGCAAAAGUUCAGUUGGGUGAACUGGGAUACUGGAAAAGGAAAGAAGAUACUUGACUAGUCUGGGUGGUCUAAGGUGGGUAAAUAAAGGAGUAGAGGAGGGUAGUUCACAGGAAUGAGCAUGACAGAAGUUUUCCUCAAUAUCCUGUUUACUCUGAUUCCAUGUUUAUAUUCCUAAUCCUCCUUUCCUUCCUGUCCCUAUCAGUCACCACCACUGCCACCUGUUGUGCCGUUUCUCUCUCUUUUUUUUAAUUAAUUUUUUUAUUUCUAUUAAGCUAGCCAGGCAUCUCAUUUCUAUGUACUGGGCAAUUAUAUGCCAAACACUGCUGGGUGCCGGAGAUAGUGAUGUUCGAGUUCAUUAACUAAUAGAAGACAGACAAGUAAACCAGUUGUCACACUAGGGUGUUCAUUAACAGAAAUAUGUAUGAGAUACGUAAUAGAUAUCAGAUCUAUUAACAAUCUUGAGUGUGAAGCCCAAUAAAGUGCUCUUUUCAUAAGUACUUCAAAUAA
This is an RNA transcript of Homo sapiens (human), 4962 nucleotides long. It is a transcript of the gene named transmembrane protein 39A, with no coding region annotated. The transcript is spliced from 10 exons. The record is from RefSeq and is marked validated. Lineage: Eukaryota; Metazoa; Chordata; Mammalia; Primates; Hominidae.